AGAACGAACGCUGGCGGCGUGGAUAAGACAUGCAAGUCGAGCGGGAUAAGUUUUGUAGCAAUACAAGACUUGUCUAGCGGCGAACGGGUGCGUAACACGUGAGAACCUGCCCAAAAGAGGGGGAUAGCCCGCCGAAAGGCGGAUUAAUACCGCAUAUUAACAAAGCAGCAAUGCGCUUUGGAUGGGCUCGCGGCCUAUCAGCUAGAUGGUGAGGUAAUGGCUCACCAUGGCGAUGACGGGUAGCUGGUCUGAGAGGACGACCAGCCACACUGGGACUGAGACACGGCCCAGACACCUACGGGUGGCAGCAGUCGAGAAUUUUUCACAAU
This 329-nucleotide ribosomal RNA is filed under the name uncultured bacterium. Its description in RNAcentral is "SSU rRNA". It matches the Rfam family "Bacterial small subunit ribosomal RNA", at positions 26 to 372 of the family's 1533-position model. The record is from RNAcentral.